UACGGAGGGUGCAAGCGUUAUCCGGAUUCACUGGGUUUAAAGGGUGUGUAGGCGGGUAUUUAAGUCAGUGGUGAAAUCUCCAGGCUCAACCUGGAAACUGCCAUUGAUACUAUUUAUCUUGAAUAUCGUUGAGGUUGGCGGAAUAUAUCAUGUAGCGGUGAAAUGCAUAGAUAUGAUAUAGAACACCGAUUGCGAAGGCAGCUAACUAAGCGAUGAUUGACGCUGAGGCACGAAAGCGUGGGGAGUCAAACAGGA
RNAcentral lists this ribosomal RNA (255 nucleotides) under uncultured bacterium. RNAcentral describes it as "partial 16S ribosomal RNA". It matches the Rfam family "Bacterial small subunit ribosomal RNA", at positions 524 to 777 of the family's 1533-position model. The record is from RNAcentral.